ACAGCGGUAAUACGGAGGGUGCAAGCGUUAAUCGGAAUUACUGGGCGUAAAGCGCACGCAGGCGGUUUGUUAAGUCAGAUGUGAAAUCCCCGGGCUCAACCUGGGAACUGCAUCUGAUACUGGCAAGCUUGAGUCUCGUAGAGGGGGGUAGAAUUCCAGGUGUAGCGGUGAAAUGCGUAGAGAUCUGGAGGAAUACCGGUGGCGAAGGCGGCCCCCUGGACGAAGACUGACGCUCAGGUGCGAAAGCGUGGGGAGCAAACAGGAUUAGAUACCCUGGUAGUCCACGCCGUAAACGAUGUCGACUUGGAGGUUGUGCCCUUGAGGCGUGGCUUCCGGAGCUAACGCGUUAAGUCGACCGCCUGGGGAGUACGGCCGCAAGGUUAAAACUCAAAUGAAUUGACGGGGGCCCGCACAAGCGGUGGAGCAUGUGGUUUAAUUCGAUGCAACGCGAAGAACCUUACCUGGUCUUGACAUCCACAGAACUUUCCAGAGAUGGAUUGGUGCCUUCGGGAACUGUGAGACAGGUGCUGCAUGGCUGUCGUCAGCUCGUGUUGUGAAAUGUUGGGUUAAGUCCCGCAACGAGCGCAACCCUUAUCCUUUGUUGCCAGCGGUCCGGCCGGGAACUCAAAGGAGACUGCCAGUGAUAAACUGGAGGAAGGUGGGGA
This 665-nucleotide ribosomal RNA is filed under the name Escherichia coli. RNAcentral's name for it is "bacterial SSU rRNA". It matches the Rfam family "Bacterial small subunit ribosomal RNA", at positions 514 to 1179 of the family's 1533-position model. The record is from RNAcentral. Lineage: Bacteria; Pseudomonadati; Pseudomonadota; Gammaproteobacteria; Enterobacterales; Enterobacteriaceae.